This 135-nucleotide small RNA is filed under the name Salmonella enterica subsp. enterica serovar Bareilly. RNAcentral describes it as "partial RtT sRNA". It matches the Rfam family "RtT RNA", at positions 31 to 130 of the family's 130-position model. Rfam says of the family: This family represents a bacterial cis-regulatory element known as RtT RNA. The exact function of RtT is unknown although it is thought that it may be involved in changing the cellular response in relation to amino acid starvation. The record is from RNAcentral. RNAcentral also lists the same sequence under 1 other name. Lineage: Bacteria; Pseudomonadati; Pseudomonadota; Gammaproteobacteria; Enterobacterales; Enterobacteriaceae.
AUUGGUCGCAGGUUCGAAUCCUGCACGACCCACCAAUAUACAAGGUGGUAACUGGUAGAGAACGUGAAGGAUAAUGUUGCUUUAGCAACGGCCCGAAGGGCGAGGCGAAGCCGAGUCAUCCUGCACGACCCACCA